Monodelphis domestica (gray short-tailed opossum) is the source of this 2784-nucleotide long non-coding RNA. RefSeq lists it as uncharacterized. The record is from RefSeq and is a predicted model, not a curated record. Lineage: Eukaryota; Metazoa; Chordata; Mammalia; Didelphimorphia; Didelphidae.
UCGACUUGAGGUCUAGCAUUAUAUCUGCUAUGUCACCUAGCUGUCCAGAUUAUAGAUCAUAAUGAUUAGAUCACAUUAUUUGAUACACAUAAAUUAGCUGAUAUGAUCACAUUUAAUAAAAAAAAAUUAACUAAGUCACAAGGAGUAAAGAGUUCUUUGAGUCAGGAUGACCUGAUUUAUAGCUACUGACUGAAAGAUCAUGGACAAAUAUAUCACUUUACCUUUCUGAAUCUCAUAAGAAUCAUGAAUUGAGAACUAGAAUGAAUGUUAGGGUCAACUAAUUCACCUUUCUAAUUUUAUUUUCAUUCAAUCAUUCAUUCAUUUAUUUUUUCAUCUUUCUCAUUUUAAAGCUGAAGAGACUGAGGCCAAGAAUAACUGGAUGACUCCCCCAUUCCAAAACAUUUUGGCCGUUAAGUAGAAGAACCAAAAUUUGAACUCACAUCUUGUGAUUCCAAGCAUGUAAUGCUGUAACUCAAAGCUCGUUUGUAUAAGACUCUCCUCAUGGUGGAGGUUGAUUGGGACUCAACAUCCAGUUGCAGAAUACUCUCCUCACUGUUGAAGGCUGGCUGCUUAAUGUUCCUCCUCUAAGGAGUGGAAGACGAGAAGGGUGGAGUUGGCAAGAUCUUAGGAGAAAAGCAAACAUCUGGGACUUCUGGCUUCCAGCUUCUAGAGAGAAGAAGACACAAAAAUUCAGAUAUUCUUUGGGGCUCUGUCCUUGUCAGCAGAGAAGGAGUCUGGGAAGAAACUGACAUAAAGAAACAGUCGGCCUCCCAUGCUCUUGCCUGUUGGGAUCUAAACCUCAGAAAGCCUGUACCACAAGAUAAAGAUGACAUCAUCACAACUUCUCUGGGAAAAAUAGAAACUGAGAGAUGGCGAGCACUUGAAAUUUCCAGUUGUAAGGAGAGUUGAGAUUGUCUUUACCUCCUCGAUUCUGUCAAAGGCUACUUUUAUGCCUUCUGAGGCCAUGUUGGCAGCAGCAGAACUUAUUAGACUCAUCAACAGAGCAGGUGGUGCUCGAGUGGUGAAAUAGGAUGGCUUUUGGAAUAUUAUCCUCAGUCCCACACCUGAUAUCCUCUAUUGACUUCACCAAUAUCGCCUGAAAUUGGAGCUGCAUUCUUUGUGCUUAGGAAUUAUUCUCAAUUUAAAAGGCAAACAUAUAACAUAUUAAACUCUUUGUAAUUUCAUUCAUUCAUUCAUCCAGCAAACAUUUCUCGAAUUUGGUCCUGGAGACACAAAGACAAAGGUGGAAGUCCCUGUACUCAAGAAGCAUAUACAGUCUACCAGAAUGGAUAGCUCUACAGAUUUUAACAUGGUGGCAGGUAGAGAGAGGUUGCUGAAAUCAAAGGAAUAGAUUAUGUAGUAUGGAUGGUAGGAAAGAGGGCCUCCUUGAAGGAGGAGGUGGUACUAUCCAAAAAUAAAACAUACCCCAAUUCUCAACUUUGCUGAUAACUGGGCCUAAGCAUGAAUUCCCUAGGUAGCACAAAGAUUUGGGAGAGUGGCAAAUUAUGAGGUCAGAGGAAAUCAAUGGGCAAAUGUAUCUUAAGUACCUGCUAUGUCCCUAGAAAGGGUUUUUUUCUCUUCUGAGAACCCCAUCUUCCAGGACCUACAAUCUGGCCAUUCUGGUCAACUGUUUUGCCUUGAUGUAGGCAAGAAGUUCUCUCUCCUCUGAUAUUUCAGGUGCUGCCUCCCAGGAGGGUAUUGCUAGGAAGAGACACUGAAGAAAAUUCCCAAUUCUGCUACUUAUGAGCGCAAGUCUUGUUUCUCUGAGAGUUACUAGCUAUGUGACCUCAGACAAAACAUUUCUGUGAGUGAGACCCCUUAUUAUAUUUUAAGGAGUUAGAUCAGAUGGCCUUUGAGGUUUUAAAUCUGUGAUCCUAAGGCCCUGUGGUCCUUAAUCUACAUUCUUAAGAUCCUUCAGCCCAAAUUAUCAGGCCUCAACAGUGGGGAUUUAACAUCUGACACCUGGAAUAUUUUACCUGCGCUUUGGAAUAAAGCCUGAUCCUUCUUUAGUAUGCUAGAACAAUGCAGAGCUAUAUUGGAAAAAGAAAUUUCAUGCAGUGAAAGGAGUCUCUUCAACCUCAAAGACGGAAGGGGGAAAAUCAUCAAAUAGCUUUUUACAAGAAUGCCAGAGAAAGCUUCUUUGUCCUUGAAAACUUGCCUAACUGGCACCUGACUCUCUGUGAGAUUUCCAAGGUACCAGGUACCACAUGCCAUCCACAAGGAAACAGAUUAUCCCUCCCAGGAUAAGUGCAAGUCAUCACCUGCAUCACUGUUUUGAAACACCCGACCUAAAUGACUUUUAUGUUCCUAAAAGAAGAAGAAGCAAAAAAAAAUGAAAAGAAAAAAUAGGGAAAGCUUUUGGUGGCCCCCCACACCUCAAAAUAUAGUUUUCUCUGAUAACCCCCAUUAACUGCAGGGGUCAUUGUGGCAAAAUGAAUGGGAUUAGAAAUCUGCUAAAAGCUGCAGCCUCCACUGCGUGCUGACUGACAAGCCUUUCACUGAGUAGUUACAAAUGGGACUAAUGGUUUAAACUUGUUAGUCAUUGUCAGCUGCUCUGAUCCUGGAGUCUGCUCUGGAAGCUAUGGCAGGAAUCGAUAAGGCAUCACUUUCAGAGUGAGCUGCUAGACCAUAUAGAUUGCCUGGAGGGAAAUGCUGAGCUCCCAGCCUGCUCGGCCAGAUGAAAGCAGCCAGCUAAAUCUCCAGGAAGAUUGACCACACUGCCCGGGGGCAAUUAGACCUUUCACCACUUUGAACAAUGAUUUUAAGAGGAGCUGGGUGUGUGCG